AGAUUUAUAAAAGCGCCAGAACUAUGAUAGUUCAUAGUAGACGAGGAGAAGGGUGAUCGAAAAUCGGCGGAUACCUUCUAGUGCUCAUCUGCACUAAAAAAAUCUUAUACAAAGCAACUGGGUGACUGGUUGUACAAAGGUAAGAUUAAGAUGUAGG
Molecule: non-coding RNA, 157 nt
Filed under: Haloplasma contractile
Lineage: Bacteria; Bacillati; Mycoplasmatota; Mollicutes; Haloplasmatales; Haloplasmataceae
Also listed under: 1 other name
Description: GlcN6P sequence
Rfam family: glmS glucosamine-6-phosphate activated ribozyme aptamer
About the family: This entry contains a glucosamine-6-phosphate activated ribozyme that is found in the mRNA for GlmS. GlmS is an enzyme that uses fructose-6-phosphate and glutamine to generate glucosamine-6-phosphate. The ribozyme catalyses self cleavage of the glmS mRNA that is thought to regulate GlmS activity.
Source: RNAcentral